This 419-nucleotide ribosomal RNA is filed under the name bacterium. RNAcentral's name for it is "partial 16S ribosomal RNA". It matches the Rfam family "Bacterial small subunit ribosomal RNA", at positions 355 to 776 of the family's 1533-position model. The record is from RNAcentral.
UGGGGGAUAUUGCACAAUGGGCGAAAGCCUGAUGCAGCGACGCCGCGUGGGGGAUGAAGGCCUUCGGGUUGUAAACUUCUUUUGCUCUGAACAAGGCGCACCAUGGGGUGUGUUGAGUGUAGGGGUUGAUUAGCGCCGGCUAACUACGUGCCAGCAGCCGCGGUAAUACGUAGGGCGCGAGCGUUGUCCGGAAUUAUUGGGCGUAAAGGGCUUGUAGGUGGCUGGUUGCGUCUGUCGUGAAAGCUCAUGGCUUAACUGUGGGUUUGCGGUGGGUACGGGCUGGCUUGAGUGCAGUAGGGGAGGCUGGAAUUCCUGGUGUAGCGGUGGAAUGCGCAGAUAUCAGGAGGAAUACCGGUGGCGAAGGCGGGUCUCUGGGCUGUUACUGACACUGAGGAGCGAAAGAAUGGGGAGCGAACAGG